This 2510-nucleotide long non-coding RNA is filed under the name Prunus dulcis (almond). RNAcentral's name for it is "sRNA ncRNA". The record is from RNAcentral. Lineage: Eukaryota; Viridiplantae; Streptophyta; Magnoliopsida; Rosales; Rosaceae.
GGCCAGGCAGCAAGGCUCCGCCAUUUCCAUAAGCCUCUCUUUGACUCUCCAACUCUCAAACUCCCUCCAUUUUCUUCUUCUUCUUCUUCCACGACCUCAAAAAUGCCUGGCUGCUUUAGCUUGACAGCGUCGCGCGACCGCUGCUUCCGCUACUCCUUCUCAUCGCACGGCCUAAAAUCCACCACCACCGAUUUGGGCGAAGGCACAAUCAUGCACUGCUGGGUCCCCAAAUCCCACUCCCAAUCCAAGCCUACGCUGCUCCUCAUCCACGGGAUCGGCGCCAACGCAAUGUGGCAGUGGCAUGAGUUCGUCGCCCCUCUAGCCUCCCGCUUCAACCUCUACAUCCCGGACCUUAUCUUCUUCGGCGACUCCUUCUCGACCCGACCCGACCGCUCCGAGACUUUUCAGGCCCAGUGCGUCGUGGGCCUCCUGGAGGCCCACGGGGUGAAGAAAAUGAGCGUCGCUGGGAUUAGCUAUGGUGGGUUUGUGGCCUACAGCAUGGCGGCGCAGUUUGGGGAGCGGAUAGAGAGGCUUGUGUUAUGCUGCGCCGGGGUGUGUACGGAGGAGAAGGAUAUGGAGAAGGGGAUGUUUCAGGUGAGGAGUGUGGAGGAGGCUGUGAGUAUUUUGCUGCCUCAGAGGCCUCAGCAGGUUAGGCAGCUGCUGAAGAUCUCUUUUCACAAGCCUGCUAAGAAUGUGCCCUCUUGUUUUCUCAAUGAUUUUAUUGAGGUAAGCAAAACUUUCUGAACCCUCCUUUUUUUUCUCUGAGAAUGAAAUUGCAUGUGUCUCUAUGUGUGUUUUGGGGUGUUUAAUUUGUUGGGUUUAAUUCAAAAGAGCAAAUUGGCAUCUUAAAAAAAACAAAGUUUCUUUCUUUCUUGCCUAAUGCAAGUUAAUAUAGUUGAUGCAUUGUACGAACAUACAUUUCAGUACCAUAUGUAUCUGGUUUGAAUAUUCACAGAGUAUCUGGGUCAUACAUGAAUCAUAGCCAAAUCAAUUGUCAAUUGGCUGAUUCGUACUCAUAAGAAACAAGAUAAAAUGAUGCUUCAAAACUGUGAAACUAGCAUCUAAUCAGUCACGGGAAGUGAUAUUUGUGUUUGGUGGAACACAACAAAACCCGUUUUGGUCCUGUUUGUAGGAUGAAGAUGGUAAAUUCAGAUUGACUCAUGCACAUAAUAACUUUCAUCUCUUUUGCCAAUAAUUUCUUUUUUGCGCUAUCAGAUUGCAUCUCUUUUGGACUAUGUUUUGCCUCACAUAAAGACAGAGCUUUCCUCUGUUAUUCAGGGAUAUGUGUCAAUCCCAAGUGUCAAUGGGAAAAUCUUUAGGCUGCCAAAGACUACAGUUCAUGGUCAUAAAGUGCUCAAAAUAUUGUUUGUUUACCGUUGAUUCUGUAAUGCAGCGGCAAGUGGUGCAAGUCCUGUUUGUUCAUAUUAAAUAAAGAUGUUGUUCAAUAUUUCUCAUUUCCCAAUAUUACGGGCGAUAUAGUAAUUUCACCUGAAACUUGUCUUAUGAGUUUCGGUUGACUGGCAGGUGAUGUGCACAGAACACCUUCAAGAGAGGAAAGGAUUGAUUCAAGCAUUGCACAAGGACAGAAAAUUGUCUGAUCUUCCCAAGAUAUCCCACGUAAUUUUCUAACAUGUUUUGAAUUUGGGGGCAUUGUGUUUAUCUUUUUGGUUUUGUGGAGUACUUAAAGGCAGAAUUUCUUCUUGAUGCAGCCUACACUAAUCAUCUGGGGAGAGCAUGACCUGGUAUUCCCACUGGAAUUGGCGCACCGAUUAAAAAGGUAAAUCGGGUGGGUUUAAUUAUUUCUAUAACAUUAUUUGUGUGUUAUUUCUAUAGAACAUUAUGAUUAAGACAAACCAAAAUCAUGUCCAUGUUUACUUUUUGGCCGGUUUAAGUUGACUUGGGCAAACAUUGGAAUUCAUCCAGUGGGAAGACCACUUCUAAACAUAAUUGCAUGGGUCUAUCUUCUAUGCAUCAAUUUUUUUCGGAAGUUUGGUCUUACUGUUCUUCCUCUGUUGCAGGCAAAUAGGUGAGAGUUCACAACUAGUGAUCUUAAAGAAUGCAGGACAUGCCAUAAAUGUAGAGAAACCGAAAGAGAUGUACAAGCACAUGAAGUCUUUCCUCAUUGAUCCUCUUCCUCCACCUAAACAAGAAAGCCACAGCAACGGCCGCAAGGUGGAUUGAAAUUUGAAGAGAAGGUGAAGAGCAAUCAAGAUGACUAGAUAAGUAACUGGUUUUCAUUUAAAACCUACAAUAUGAGAUAUGCUGGUGCGUAUUGUGGAUUAUGUGGUCAUUUUGUAUAUUUAUAAGACGAAAAGGUGUAUAUCAGCGCAGUAGAACUGGAUUACGCAGAUGUUUCUUUUAAUGAUUUCAUGAAAAUAUCAUGAGGGAAAUGUUUUCUUACUAGAUCGUCGGUGACAUAGGAUACUUGUAUUGCUAGACUAUGAAUCUAGACCAUUGGAUCAUAUUAAUUCUUACAUGAAUGCUUGCAACAUAAGCAACUAUUUGGCAAC